Mauremys reevesii (Reeves's turtle) is the source of this 858-nucleotide long non-coding RNA. RefSeq lists it as uncharacterized. NCBI's taxonomy places the organism in Eukaryota, Metazoa, Chordata, Testudines, Geoemydidae. The record is from RefSeq and is a predicted model, not a curated record. The transcript has 3 exons.
UGGGGGAGAGGGUUAUUUAAAGAGCUAGGUACUAUGCUAAUUGAUGGAUCCAAAUAGCUUAUUAUGGCAUCCAGGUAUAAGUGAGGUUGGAGUUAUCCUCAGCCAGGAGCAGAAGGGUUUUGAUAGAGAGAGCUCUAAGGCCUGAGCUGCUUUGGAAAUUUACUCUGAUUCCAGCAGCUGAUGGCCAGUCAUUGAUAUAGCUGCACCAAUGCAAAUCACAUGACUAUAUGAAGAGAGCCAAUAUUUCUACCAGUGGAAGGAGCAGAUUGCUGAGAUCAGAACAAAUUCCUUGUAUACUCAAGGUUAAAUGUAGCCAAGCUGGAAGAGAGGUCUUAUGCCAAGAUAAAGAGAGGAGAUUUAUAUUGUGACUUCAUAAAGGUGUGGCUUGUUCAGAAUGGGACGGAAAUGGCCCCUGCUGAUGUGAAGAAUAAGACUGGAUGCAGCAUACGAAGGCUUUGGAGGAGUUUCAUAUGUACUCUGGCCCUUCAGUGGCUCCUGGUUGCCCUGUUUGAAGAUUUUGAAGAAAUAUGAAUAAUGUACUUCCUGUUACAAUAAAUAAUUUGGCUUGAUGCUACUUUGUGGACUUAAGGUGUUUAUGUUAAUCUGGAUCUUGGUUCUGCAUUCCUUCUGUACCCCAAGCUUGCAUUAAUUUAGGCCUGCUCUACCCACAAAGUUGCACCAGUUUAAUAAAAGAUGCAGUGUUAAAGUGAUUUAGUUAAACCAAUACCAAAUUCCAUGUGGAUACUCUUACACCUGGAUUAUAUCUAUUUAGAUAGCAUCGGUAAAUGUACACAAACUAAGCAGAUAUAGCCAGAUUUAAACCAGUAUCACUGUGUGCAAAGAGGGAUUUGCAUUGGU